RNAcentral lists this long non-coding RNA (853 nucleotides) under Equus caballus (horse). RNAcentral describes it as "lncRNA (ENSECAG00000050047.1)". Lineage: Eukaryota; Metazoa; Chordata; Mammalia; Perissodactyla; Equidae. The record is from RNAcentral.
UAUCAAUCUCCUUUGGCUGCUGUGACAAUUGACCACAAAGUUAGUGGCUUAUUACAACACAAAUGUAUUUUCUUACAGCUCUGAGGUUCUGAAGUCGGUCGGCAGGGCUGCGUUCCUUCUCGAGGUUCUAGGGGAGACUUCAUUUUCUUGCCUUUGCCAGGUUUUAGAGGCCACCUGCAUUGCACACAGUCCCACGUCACUCCAACCUCUGCUUCCAUCGUCACAUCUCCACCCUGACUCUGACCCUCCUGCCCUCCUCUUUUUCUUCCAGGCACCCUCAUGAUUACAUUGCACCUGCCCCCCCCCCCCCAUCAUCCAGGAUAAUUUCCUCAUCUCAAGGUCCUUAACUUAGUCACACCUGCAAAAUCCCUUUCGACAUGUAAGGGAGAGAGGAAAGAGGAGUAUCUCCUACCAGGGCUCUUUCGAAGAUCAAGGAUGAAAUGAUACGCCGUACCCUGUUGUGAAAUGAGUGCCACACUCCCUCCCCACGCAGGUCUUGUAAAGAUGUGCCCCUCAACCAGCUUUGUGCCCCUUCACCCAUCACCCUCCUCAAGGGUUGAUGCUGGAAAGACUGAGGUGCAUGCUCAGGUGUAACCCCAAGAGAAGACGUUAUGAAGGAGUCAGAUCCUUGCGCACAAAUAUAAAUCCCUGUGACUUGGACGUACAAAUUCAGACUGAUGAAGACAAGAUGUGUGGGUAAUGCAGUGUCCAUAAGCAGCCUUGUCAUCAGUGAUGUAAGUUUCCAAAAUGGAGAAAACUUCUUGCUUCAAAGUACAAUUACACCCUAAUUUGCACAGAAGUUGCAUCCCCAGAAAUUCAAUGUAUAUGAAAACAUUUCAAAAUAUUAUGUGAA